Molecule: long non-coding RNA, 319 nt
Organism: Amphimedon queenslandica
Lineage: Eukaryota; Metazoa; Porifera; Demospongiae; Haplosclerida; Niphatidae
Exons: 2
Source: RefSeq, a predicted model, not a curated record
UGACGUCACGAGAGUAUGCCUAUGCUCUUUUCGCUCUAGCGUUAGCCUCUAGUGGCCUUGUUUCUCGAAGUUUUGGGUUCUUGGUCAAGUUACUACUUUGCUGAGUUGAAGUAAGUAUUAUGAAGUCUCUAUUAGCUCGAAUGACCUGCUGAAUGCUUGUUUGCUUGAUCACUGGAUCUCGUUGUGCUGUAAAACAUGGCGGCCUAUAGUUCUGACUUUAAACACCUUUUCUCCAAUCUGGGGCAGAGUUAUUUGUUUAUGGUCUGUUUUGUAAACGCCUUUUCUGGAAAACUAUGCUAUUUGAAGAGGUAUAAUUUUG